Molecule: ribosomal RNA, 379 nt
Filed under: uncultured cyanobacterium
Lineage: Bacteria; Bacillati; Cyanobacteriota
Description: bacterial SSU rRNA
Rfam family: Bacterial small subunit ribosomal RNA
Source: RNAcentral
CGAAAGCCUGACGGAGCAACGCCGCGUGAGGGAUGAAGGCCUCUGGGCUGUAAACCUCUUUUCUCAAGGAAGAAGAUCUGACGGUACUUGAGGAAUAAGCCACGGCUAAUUCCGUGCCAGCAGCCGCGGUAAUACGGGAGUGGCAAGCGUUAUCCGGAAUUAUUGGGCGUAAAGCGUCCGCAGGCGGUUCUGUAAGUCUGUCGUUAAAGCGUGGAGCUUAACUCCAUUUAAGCGAUGGAAACUACAAGGCUUGAGUGUGGUAGGGGCAGAGGGAAUUCCCGGUGUAGCGGUGAAAUGCGUAGAUAUCGGGAAGAACACCAGUGGCGAAGGCGCUCUGCUGGGCCAUAACUGACGCUCAUGGACGAAAGCCAGGGGAGCG